Molecule: long non-coding RNA, 384 nt
Filed under: Lucilia cuprina (Australian sheep blowfly)
Lineage: Eukaryota; Metazoa; Arthropoda; Insecta; Diptera; Calliphoridae
Description: uncharacterized LOC124419906
Source: RNAcentral
CAAAAUAAAAUAUUUUUUCUAAAUCAAAUUAUUUUAUUUGACAAAUUAAAUUUUAAAACAAAACUUGCACAUGUAUAGCAUGCGCAUUUUCUGCAUUGGAUUAAACGAUACAUACAUAUGGAUUUCUGAUCAUCAUUGAUUUGGAAUCAAGACUGAGCUUUGAAAUAAAAGGUACAACAUAGUGAAAGUCCUGCAAUACCGUAAAGAGUACGAAAAAGACAUCCAUCUCAUUAUUUAUCCGCAAGAUUCCGUCUACGUAUGAAGAAAACAUUCAUUCCGGUAUUUAAGAUUCCAUUUAGGCAUGAGGUUUGACAUCAAAUAAGGGAUCGUGUAAUAUAUUUAAGUAUAAAUAAAAUAAUUUUUCGCAAAAAUUGAAAUAAAAGA